UACGGGGGGAGCAAGCGUUGUUCGGAUUUACUGGGCGUAAAGAGCUCGUAGGCGGCUUGUUACGUCGACUGUGAAACCCGCGGCUCAACCGUGUGGUCUGCAGUCGAUACGGGCAGGCGUAGAAUUCGGUGAGGGGAGACGUGGAAUUCCUGGUGUAGCGGUGAAAUGCGCAGAGUAUCAGGAAGAACACCCGUGGCUAAGGCGGUUCUCUAGUACGGUACUGACGCUGAGACGCGGAAAGCGUGGGGAGCGAACAGG
RNAcentral lists this ribosomal RNA (258 nucleotides) under uncultured bacterium. RNAcentral's name for it is "partial 16S ribosomal RNA". It matches the Rfam family "Bacterial small subunit ribosomal RNA", at positions 524 to 776 of the family's 1533-position model. The record is from RNAcentral.